GGCGGCGCUGUGAGGGGGCUGGCGCGCCCCGCGGGGCAGCCGUGCGCCUUGUGCGGCAGAAAAUGGUUAAACCACCCCAGCACGGAUCUUGCCUUCUCUGUCGUUCUUUGCAAGCAGCAAUUACCAGCAAUAGGCUGGGUAGCCGACCGUCCGGCUCGCUGCGCCCAUCGUUCUAACUCGUUUCUGUUUUGUUUCUUAGGCUUUAGGUAGCAUCUAUGAAGAUAGAAACUGACUUCCUGACCGGGAUUACUGAGCUGUGCCCAGAGCCUUUUCGCGAGGAGCCCUGGCACGAAGAUGAGUACCAUCGACUCACAGGAUGAUGAAGAUACCUUUAAAAUACUUAUUGCUACUGAUAUUCAUCUUGGCUAUUUGGAGAAGGAUCCAGUACGUGGAAAUGAUACAUUUGUAACUUUCAAUGAAAUUCUGGACCAUGCUCAAAAAAAUGAAGUGGACUUUGUUUUGUUAGGUGGGGACCUUUUUCAUGAAAACAAACCUUCCAGAAAAACAGUACACUCUUGUUUGGAGUCUCUAAGAAAAUACUGCAUGGGUGAUCGUCCUGUUCAGUUUGAAAUUUUGAGUGAUCAGGCAGUUAAUUUUCAUUAUAGCAAGUUUCCAUGGGUGAAUUACCAGGAUGAAAAUCUCAACAUUUCUAUUCCAAUUUUUAGUAUUCAUGGCAAUCACGAUGAUCCCACAGGGGCAGAUGCACUGUGUGCAUUGGAUAUUUUAAGCUGUGCAGGACUGUUGAAUCACUUUGGACGUUCGACUUCCGUGGAGAAAAUAGAUAUUAGUCCCAUUUUAUUGCGUAAGGGUAGAACAAAAAUUGCUCUGUACGGCUUGGGAGCUAUUCCAGAUGAGAGGUUGUAUCGUAUGUUUGUCAAUAAAAAAGUAACUAUGCUGAGACCAAGGGAAGAUGAAGAUAGUUGGUUUAACUUGUUUGUGAUUCAUCAAAAUAGGAGCAAACAUGGAGCUACCAACUACAUUCCAGAGCAGUUUUUAGAUGACUUUAUUAAUCUUGUUGUGUGGGGUCAUGAACAUGAGUGCAAAAUAGCUCCAUCCCAGAAUGAACAGCAACGUUUCUACGUUUCUCAGCCAGGAAGUUCAGUGGUGACAUCUCUGUCCCCUGGAGAAGCUGUGAAGAAACACAUUGGUUUGCUGCAUGUUAAAGGGAAAAAAAUGAAAAUGCAGAAGAUUGCUCUAGAGACAGUGAGGACUUUCUACAUGGAGGAUAUUGUUCUGGCUGAUCAUCCAGAUCUUUUUAAUCCUGACAAUCCUAAAGUAACUCAGGCAAUACAAGCAUUCUGCAUGGAAAAGGUUGAAUUGAUGCUGGACAACGCGGAAAGAGAACGCUUGGGAAAUCCUCGCCAGCCAGAGAAACCUCUCAUAAGAUUACGAGUUGAUUAUGCAGGUGGCUUUGAACCAUUCAGUGUCCAUCGUUUUAGCCAGAAGUAUGUGGAUAGGGUGGCUAACCCAAAAGACAUCAUAUACUUUUUCAGGCAUCGUGAACAAAAGGAGAAAAAUGACAGUGAUCUGAAUUUUGGAAAACUGGUUAGCAGACCUGCUUCUGAGGGGAUGACACUGAGGGUGGAAGACCUUGUAAAGCAGUAUUUUCAGACAGCGGAGAAGAAAGCACAGCUUUCACUUCUAACCGAAAGAGGAAUGGGAGAAGCAGUGCAGGAGUUUGUGGACAAAGAGGAAAAAGAUGCCAUAGAAGAGUUGGUGAAAUUUCAACUAGAAAAAACACAAAGGUUUCUUAAGGAGCGUCGCACUGAUGCAGAGGAAGAAAAAAUAGAUGAGGAGGUGCGAAAGUUCAGGGAGAGUAGAAAAAAGAACACCGAAGAAGAGGAUGAGGAAGUUCGUGAGGCAAUAACCAGGGCUAGAGCCCACAGAUCUGAGGAUGCAAUUCUUGUCGCAGCCUCCAGUGAUGAAGAACUCAUAGAUACGGGGCUGAGAGGCACUGGUGAUUCAGAUGACGGUCUUCCUGCAACACUGAGCCGAGGAAGGGGUCGGGCAAGAGGUAGGGCAAGGGGUGCAAGAGGACAAAAUUCAACAGCAAGAGGUUCAUCUCAAAGGGGAAGAGGGAGCACUAGCCAAGGGUCAGCUACUAGCAGCAGAACCUACAAGCCUGUAUCUGUGCCUGCCAAGAGUACGUCUAUCAUCGAUGCCUUUAGGUCUUUGAAACCACAGCCCUCCUUGAAUUCAUCUAAAUCUUACUUUGAGGAUAUUAUAGAUGAUGACUCUGAUCUAGAAGACAUUUCUAUUGUUCCUUCUUCCAAAGCAAAGCAAAGGUUGUCAACUACAUCUUCACUUAGUAAAAGAGGUUCACAAAGCCAAACACCUAGAGGAGUUGAUUUUGAGUCAGAUGAGGAUGAAUUUGAUCCAUUCAAAAGCACUGCAACGUCAAGAAGAACGAAGUGAUUUCUGGCUCACUGUACAAGAGAGACCGUGAAAGUUAGUGGAGAAAGUGGAAAACAGUUUACAAGGCGUUCUAUAUAUGACAUUUCUCUGUAAAUGAUGGCUUGCCUUUAGUUUUCACUUCUAUGAAAUGUUUUUGGGUUGGGAUUUUUUUUUUCAGUGGUGACAAAUUUGGUAUAAUUUGGGCAUUGCAUUGCUUGAUGCAUUAGAUUAGAGUGUCUUAAUAUUCUGAAGUACUGCCUGAAACUGCAAGUUCUUUCUAAAACUUCUAAAAGCCUGUUUUCUUUCUGGUUGAUAACGUAAAUGACACUCAUAUAUUUUAUAAAAAAACUCCAUUUCUUGGUCUUGAAUUUUGCAGAGGUGUAAAUUUAUAGUAGUAUGCAAGCAUGGAUAUGGGUAUGGACUCGGUACUUAUUUUCAAUUUUCUACAGAUACAGUUGAAAACUCCGAAGAGUAAUAGUUUGACCCAAAAAUGAUUUUCAGUAUUGAAGCUGGAAAAUGUUCUAAUACUUUCAACUCUACUAGAAGAACUAAACCCACUCUUGCACUGUUACUAAACGUCAUAGUAUACAGCAAUGCUGCUCUGUAAUUCAAGAAGUGCCAAAAACUUCAGAUUGAAUUGCGUUGUCAGCUUUUACCCUGUGAGAAAGACGUAAGGGCUAGAGCCUUACAGCUUCACAAGGUCGCUGCUUGAAGAGUAAAGCAAUUGAGCCAGUAAUGGGCAGGACAUUGCCUCUUACCUUUUCCUUAGUGGACAUUUUUCAGGUAUCUGUUUCUUCAGUCCACUGGUUCAGUAACCCUCCUAAAAUGUCAUCGCUAUUUUCCAAAUAUUCUCCAAAUGAGGAUUUUAAAAUACAGUGUUGUAUGCACAGUGGGGGAACCACUGCUUCUGUUGAAGGAGCCAAGACCUAGACCUAUUCCUCCUCCUCGCUUUCCCCCUCUGUACGGCCUGCUCCCCAAAAAUCGCUGUUGGCCAUUGGAGCUAAUCAAGGAAAAGGCCAGAAGAGUCCAUCAGCUAACGCCCCAGCGUGUUGGAGAAGAAUAUGCUGAGUAGCUGCAGCCGUGCCUUUGCAUUUUUACUUUCUCCUUCAAAGAGAUGGGAGUGGGCAGUUGUGUUUCUCUGGCUCUCGCUGAACAUGACUGUUGCUACUUUGCCUGCAUAUAUGCUGUAGCAGGGAACCUAAAUAAGCCUUGAGCUUCCUGAAGACAUCCGUAAAAAUGAUUGAGACCUGCAGAUUUCUAGUGUAGAGCUUAGUAGCAACUUACAAAGCACUGCGCUCACUUAAGAUACCUUUUACAAAACCAAGACACAACGUACCAAACCCUGACAUUCCUGUGCGGGUGCUUCCUUUCCUGUCGGUGAGUGCUGGGGAUGGUGGAGCAAGGGUGAAGUCGGCGGGAACAGGCAGCGGGCAGACAAAUCUACUACAGCUUGUUCUCUGGUCACAACCACGCGUAGGGGAACAGAAUCUGGUAGAUGUGGAAGAAGAACUGGAGCUGAGCAUCAGAAGAGAGAAUACCCUUACGCAUUGGCCAGCAGCACUGAAAAGGAGAGGGACUUGGGAGCUGCUGGAGCAGCCCAGCAAGAAGGGGGACAUGCACCACCAACCACUCCAUUCUCACCUCAGACCCACAGCAGAACGCUGCCCUGUCCCCCGUUCUGCCAUUUCCCUGGCCUUUGUGUUACAUUGUGAGACUCUGUGUGUUUUCCUGGCAGCGUCAGCUUGGGGGCAUCCUCACUGGCCAAGCGCUUCUGAGCUGGGCGCAGAUUCCUUCUCUCUGAAUGGUCACAGGUGUCUGCCACCUUAGCAGCUCCAGCAGGUUCGCUGGAAAGCUUCCUCUGAGACAGGCAAACUGCCAAAAGAGCUCAAGCUGGACAAUUCUGAGGAAGAAAUAGAGGCUGGCAGCAGCUUGCAGAUGAGCGCUGUGGGCUGGCCGUGCCGCCUGUCCUGCUGUGUUCCACUCCUGAGCAGCGGUGAGGAGAAAGCGGCCUGAGUGGUUCGCAGGGGGACUCACAAGCAUCUUCUGGAAGUGUUAUUGUCACCAAUGAGCAGCCAACUUAUAAGCUAAGCUUUUCAGAUAAUGGUCUUUUAAUUGAUGGCUAACUAAAGCAUUUUAUGUACCAAGCCUGCUCUGACCGGGGUUAGUGGACACCACCCGAGCAGAUCUGUCCCCAGCAGAGGGGCAGCACCUCACAUGUGCACUCGUGGAGGGAUUUGUGGAUCUUGUCAUGUGUGCUGUGUAGGACUUGUGGCUCUUGGUCUCCUGAUACUGAUUUUAGAUUUCCUUCUGUGUUUUUGGGGAGAAGGCCCAGGGAACACACAUGCUGCUGUCUCAUCAGUGCUUGGGUCCAGCGUAUGGCCACCUGUUGCUUUGGAUACUGGACUCACGGGGUUGGGACAUCCCCUUCUGUCACCUGUACCAUAUAAUCACCUCUUUGUAACAACCUCUGUAUUUCUACAAACCCUGGAAAGCACAGUUCCACAUAAAACUGUUUAUCCCCUAGGCCAAGAGGAAAUUCCUGCCAAGGGAAAGCUUAAGUACUUCUCUGUCUCUCUGAGGGAAAAAAAGCUUUUGGAAAAAUAUUGCAAAUAUAGUAAGCUGGCUCGUUAGUCACAGUUCAUCUGUUACCCCCCUGUUCUAUGCUAAUUAUUGUGUCAUGCUGUGAAAUAGAAUCGUAGAAUCGUUUAGGUUGGAAAAGACCUUUAAGACCAUCAAGUCCAACUGUUAACCUAAC
RNA transcript from Egretta garzetta (little egret), 5149 nucleotides. It is a transcript of the gene named MRE11 homolog, double strand break repair nuclease, with no coding region annotated. The record is from RefSeq and is a predicted model, not a curated record. Lineage: Eukaryota; Metazoa; Chordata; Aves; Pelecaniformes; Ardeidae. The transcript has 21 exons.